This 390-nucleotide ribosomal RNA is filed under the name uncultured bacterium. RNAcentral's name for it is "bacterial SSU rRNA". It matches the Rfam family "Bacterial small subunit ribosomal RNA", at positions 28 to 415 of the family's 1533-position model. The record is from RNAcentral.
GACGAACGUUGGCGGCGUGCCUAAUACAUGCAAGUCAACUGAAAUACCGGUAGCAAUACUGGUAUGGAGGUGGCGCACGGGUGAGUAACACGUAGGUAAUCUGCCUUCAGGUCUGACAUAACCCAUCGAAAGGUGAGCUAAUAUCAGAUGAUGCAGCGGCUUGACAUCAAGACAGUUGUUAAAGCUUCGGCGCCUGAAGAUGAGCCNGCGUCUGAUUAGCUAGUUGGCGGGGUAACGGCCCACCAAGGCUGCGAUCAGUAGCUGGUCUGAGAGGAUGAUCAGUCACACUGGAACUGAGACACGGUCCAGACUCCUACGGGAGGCAGCAGUAAGGAAUAUUGCUCAAUGGCCGAAAGGCUGAAGCAGCAACGCCGCGUGAGGGAUGAAGGG